UACGGGGGGUGCAAGCGUUUUUCGGAAUCAUUGGGCGUAAAGAGCGUGUAGGCGGUUGGACAAGUCAGAUGUGAAAGCCCUGGGCUUAACUCAGGAAGUGCAUUUGAAACUGUUCAGCUGGAGUAAGGGAGAGGAAAGUGGAAUUCCUGGUGUAGAGGUGAAAUUCGUAGAUAUCAGGAGGAACACCGGUGGCGAAGGCGACUUUCUGGCCCUAUACUGACGCUGAGACGCGAGAGCGUGGGUAGCACACAGGAGGAGAUAACCGUGUAGUCC
Molecule: ribosomal RNA, 273 nt
Filed under: uncultured bacterium
Lineage: Bacteria
Description: partial 16S ribosomal RNA
Rfam family: Bacterial small subunit ribosomal RNA
Source: RNAcentral